This 238-nucleotide long non-coding RNA is filed under the name Mytilus galloprovincialis (Mediterranean mussel). Lineage: Eukaryota; Metazoa; Mollusca; Bivalvia; Mytilida; Mytilidae. The record is from RNAcentral.
AGUAUGCAAGUGGAGGCGAGUGAUCCCGAAGCAGGAGAAGAGAGCAACAGUGAUACGCAUAAGAAGCUGUGACAAGAAGUGGCAUCGAUCAAAACUGACAAUAUUGCUGGCAAUUGCAUAUGACGUAACUGUACUCUCAAAGAUUAUGUUAAUUAUAACAAUCAGUGUUAUCCCUCUUUAUUCACAAACUGGACUUUUGUGAUUUAUGCAUGCAUGUAAAUAUGUUAUAAUCAACUGA